GGAAGUCGGCCAAAUGAAUCUGGGGCUUAGGGAAUUAAAUCAAAUCUGACGUUGGGCGAUCAGCGAUUAUCUCUCGUUUCAGGAUUUUACUGGCGCUUAUGGGGGGUUCAGAGUAAUAUUCCGAUGGGAGUUCAUGAUUCUUGGCCAAAAGCUACCUAGGUACCUACCUCGAAGACACGACGAGUUCUUCCUCGGUGAGAGUCUGGUUGUGAUGACAACUUCAACUGGGUAGAGGUACUUACCUGGAAGGCAAACAGUUCGGAGGUUCAAACUUCAAAAGAACCAUGCGGGCCCACCCUCAAAGCCCCAAAAGUCCAGAACACCGCCCACACCACACCCAGGAAAGAAGAGCUUGGCAUCUUGAAAUCUGCCUUUAGUUGCGUUUCACCUUUCAUGACACACAUUUCGGCUUUGCACCCACCCGCCCACCACACCGAGCCGCUGGCUCGAAAGAUCAGCAAGGAUCGCCAUUAAGCCGCUGUUUCGAAUCGAGAGCGGGUACAGAUGAUAGAAUGAAACGAUUAUUUGCAUGAUAAACGCGGCUACACACGUGCUGUGCACAUGCUGUUUUUCCAACAGCAGCGACAAAGAAACAACCAAACACGCCCCGAGAGGCAAAAGGGAAAUUUGGGAGGCCUCAAACCAGAUCCAAAAUGAACGGAUUCCCCUGAAGAUCUUGAUCGCUGGUGAUCCAGUGAUCCGGAGAAAUAGCCCUACCCGUCCCCCUUUCCAGAGC
This is a non-coding RNA of Neurospora crassa OR74A, 736 nucleotides long. NCBI's taxonomy places the organism in Eukaryota, Fungi, Ascomycota, Sordariomycetes, Sordariales, Sordariaceae. The record is from RefSeq and is a predicted model, not a curated record.